UGUGUGUGUGUGUGUGUGUGUGUGUGUAUAUAUAUAUAUAUAUACAUAUAUAUAUAUUACAUUGUCCACAAGAAAGUCAGAAUGAGAAUAUAUUACACACACACACACACACACACACACU
RNAcentral lists this microRNA precursor (121 nucleotides) under Podarcis lilfordi (Lilford's wall lizard). Lineage: Eukaryota; Metazoa; Chordata; Lepidosauria; Squamata; Lacertidae. The record is from RNAcentral.